Molecule: ribosomal RNA, 447 nt
Filed under: uncultured bacterium
Lineage: Bacteria
Description: bacterial SSU rRNA
Rfam family: Bacterial small subunit ribosomal RNA
Source: RNAcentral
ACCAGACUCCUACGGGAGGCAGCAGUGGGGGAUAUUGCACAAUGGGGGAAACCCUGAUGCAGCGACGCCGCGUGGGUGAAGAAGCGCCUCGGCGCGUAAAGCCCUGUCAGCAGGGAAGAAAAUGACGGUACCUGAAGAAGAAGCCCCGGCUAACUACGUGCCAGCAGCCGCGGUAAUACGUAGGGGGCAAGCGUUAUCCGGAUUCACUGGGUGUAAAGGGAGCGUAGACGGCCAUGCAAGCCUGGAGUGAAAGCCCGGGGCCCAACCCCGGGACUGCUCUGGGAACUGUGCGGCUGGAGUGCGGGAGGGGCAGGCGGAAUUCCUGGUGUAGCGGUGAAAUGCGUAGAUAUCAGGAGGAACACCGGUGGCGAAAGCGGCCUGCUGGACCGUAACUGACGUUGAGGCUCGAAAGCGUGGGGAGCAAACAGGAUUAGAUACCCGGGUAAG